GUACAUAAGUGCUUGCGCACCAAAGGGUUUUUUCAUUACAUUCGAGUGUGGGUGUAAAAAUCCUCUGCCAGCCAAAGCCAGCAAGAGGCCAAAGGUUCACAAGGGUGUGGAUGAAAGUCACCAACGUGCACAUGCAAGAGCCAGCACAGAAGAGGACGAUUCAUAAUUCGAUAAUGAUCCUUCCGCAGGUUCACCUACGGAAA
Molecule: unclassified non-coding RNA, 203 nt
Filed under: uncultured fungus
Lineage: Eukaryota; Fungi
Description: sequence contains ITS1
Source: RNAcentral